This 871-nucleotide ribosomal RNA is filed under the name uncultured bacterium. RNAcentral's name for it is "bacterial SSU rRNA". It matches the Rfam family "Bacterial small subunit ribosomal RNA", at positions 96 to 986 of the family's 1533-position model. The record is from RNAcentral.
UGGCGGACGGGUGAGUAACACGUAGGAAAUCUGCCUCAAGGAGGGGGAUAACACCGGGAAACUGGUGCUAAUACCCCAUAUGUCAUAGAUUGAAAUAUCUAUGAUGAAAGUUCCGGCGCCUUGAGAUGAGCCUGCGUCUGAUUAGCUAGUUGGUGGGGUAAUUGCCUACCAAGGCGACGAUCAGUAGCUGGUCUGAGAGGGUGAUCAGCCACAAUGGGACUGAGACACGGCCCAUACUCCUACGGGAGGCAGCAGUAGGGAAUUUUGCGCAAUGGGCGAAAGCCUGACGCAGCAACACCGCGAGAGGGAUGAAGUUCUUUGGAGCGUAAACCUCUGUCAGUGGGGACGAAUUUUGACGGUACCCACAAAGGAAGCAUCGGCUAACUACGUGCCAGCAGCCGCGGUAAGACGUAGGAUGCGAGCGUUGUCCGGAAUCAUUGGGCGUAAAGAGUUCGUAGGCGGCAUGUCAAGUCUGGUGUUAAAGCCCGGGGCUCAACCCCGGUUUCGCACCGGAUACUGGCAAGCUAGAGUGCAGAAGAGGCAAGGGGAAUUCCCAGUGUAGCGGUGAAAUGCGUAGAUAUUGGGAGGAACACCGGUGGCGUAAGCGCCUUGCUGGGCUGUUACUGACGCUGAGGAACGAAAGCCGGGGGAGCGAAUGGGAUUAGAUACCCCAGUAGUCCCGGCCGUAAACGAUGGAUACUAGGUGUUGCGGGUAUCGACCCCUGCAGUGCCGCAGCUAACGCGAUAAGUAUCCCGCCUGGGGAGUACGCACGCAAGUGUGAAACUCAAAGGAAUUGACGGGGGCCCGCACAGGCGGUGGAACAUGUGGUUUAAUUCGAAGCAACGCGAAGAACCUUACCAGGGCUUGACA